This is a long non-coding RNA of Oreochromis niloticus (Nile tilapia), 10694 nucleotides long. RefSeq lists it as uncharacterized. The record is from RefSeq and is a predicted model, not a curated record. Lineage: Eukaryota; Metazoa; Chordata; Actinopteri; Cichliformes; Cichlidae. The transcript is spliced from 5 exons.
UACAGGUCAUAUAGCUCACUUCCCUGAAGAGGUACAAAUCUCCCACCAAACCGCUGCGUCGCGCGCCGAGCCGCACAGCUACGGAAAGCCACAGGGGUCAAAAGGCGGUUCUUCGCGAAACAGAGGGCGCAUGAAGAGGAGAGAAGGGAGGGAGCAGAAUAGCAGAAUGGUCUUUUAAAAACUGCUUCACUGCACUAAUGUUCCUGAAACCUGAGCUCUUAUUGGAUCUGAAGGGCAUUAUAAGACAAGGCAUCCUCCACCCUCUACCCCUGUUUAAAGGUGAGGAUUAAAGGGAUUGCUUUCAUUCAGGGAAGGAGAGGCGAAAAAGCCUUCCAGCAGAGCCCACUCCGGCUCAGCUCUUCUCCCCGUGUGCCUGUCCCCUUGUCUCUGCUUGCCAGGCCAGUUGACCAACCCUCCGACAAACUAGCCACCGGCCCGCCUGGACAGCUCUCUCGCACCCAGGCUUGUUACUGUGAGGUAGUCAGACGCAGCUAGCUGCCUCGUGGCCUCUGACAUUUGCGUGGAGGACAAAAAAAAAAAAAAAAAGGAGGAUGUGCUCAACUUUCCUCUCCUACACCUGCGAUCACGCUGUGGGGUCUCGAGAAACCCCCCCACCCUGGAAUCAGUGCAGGCCUCAUGUUAUAUGCAGGGAACACAGCAACCUCUUCUGGCCAAAAGUGAACGCAGCAGAGAGUGUGUGCUGAAGCCAGCAUAUAACAAGUCCCGGCAGCAGCAGGGCUUUUCCUGACCCAUGGAGGGCCGCACCAGUGCCAUGGCAGGAGCGUGAUGGGGAGUAUCCAUUGAUGGAUGUUGGGCAGGUAUUCUUCAUCGCCAGGGCUCCAACACCCUCUUCCUGACCAGGAGGGAAAUAUAGCGUACCAGAAAGGUGCCAAGGGGGUAUACGCCAAGCUUUGGUGGGUGCAUGCAGAUCCUGGUCCUGGUUUAAUUAUGGGCAUUGUUGGAGUCAGAGUGGGUGGUCAGGUGUGUGCAUGGGAACAUUCACAAAUAUCCUGUAUUACCAGAUAAAAUUUAAGGGAAAAAAUACAUAGAGUAAAGGUUGCAGCCCAGCAACAUCAGGAGCUCCUGUACAACAAAGAGACUAGACUUAGGCAAUUGCUCCCUUCUUUCAGCUCAAAAUUACUGUUGCUCAGUGGGUGACGUCCACUAUGAGGUGGUGCGGUCGGACAGGGAAGGAGCCACAGAGAUAUUUCACCUCACCCUCCUCAAAGACAAAGUAGGCUGCAUAUGCUGCUGCCUACUUGAUGCCGAUGUCAACUGUCUUUGUUAUUACCUCCUGGGACAGUCAAUAACCGCAUACUCAGACCACGCCCCGUUGUAGGGGCUCCACCGCAUUAUGUAUGGUUGCCAAUCCCCGGAUCACCCUGUGGUAUCUGGCUUUGCAGCCCUUUAAGUUGAAGGUAAUCCAUAGGCCAGGGGCACAGAUUGCUGUGGUCAAUUUUCACUCGCAAGGUGGGGGGUGAGUAGGUUUAGACGGAUGGGUCCCCAGCAUCAGUAGAGGUGGAGGUGUGCGGCAGGGGUGUAAUCUGCGGCUCUGCUGCAGGGAAGGGGUGGUGCAGUGGGUUGGAGGGCCAGGGAGGCUGGCAGGGCAACUGAAAGCAAUUCAAUAAUUACACUCUCCCUAUUUUAGUGACACUAACACCUGGAGGAAAAAAGAACAGGUGGCUGUCGGGACGAGGGGGGCAAAUAAUUGUAAAUAAAAAAUACUGUCACAAGUACGCUGACUGUCUUAGCUCCUCACUGAGGUCACACAGUCCUUCAAAAGUCUCUUUGCAGACUUAUUCAGUUGUAAAGCUGCACCUAGCAGAUUUACAGCUACAUUUGACAAAAUCAAUCUGCCACUUAACCUUUAACCAUACUCCAGGCUAUGUGGAGUGUUCUUUUGUCUUACACAGGUGUAGCACAGUCAAGUAAAAUCCUUUGACUACUGAAUGAGAACUUAAUGCUGUACCCAACUGGCUGAACCAGCAGUGAUUUAGCUUCUGUCCACUGACAUAUUGAAGGGACUAAAUAUGAAUUUUACAUUUUAUACUUGUACUUGUAUUUCACCUUGGGGAGAUGUGUUCACUCUGACAUUAAGGGUCAGUUUUUGAUUAGUCAUUGCCAAAAAGAAGAGCCAUUAUAAUAUAUUACUUUUAUAUUUUCUACUGAAAAAUGAUUAUGUGUGAUAUUACAGUAAAUCAUGAAAACCUUUAAAAGGGAUUAACUUUCUUUUUCUUUUUUUUAGUAAGGAGUGAGAAAGAGAGACUCACCUGACUCACCUGUACAGCUGGCAUUGAGUUCUUUGAACUCCAGCAGCCUCCCACACUUCUCUCCACUACGCUACUCUUUUCUCUUCUCCUGCUGUGACAGCUUUGGCCUUUAAGCUCAGCACUGUUAUCACAUUUUAACAAGCACGUCAUUAACGUUGUCUCGCCGAGCUUUCUGUCGCAGUGACAGACAGCUGUUUUGACACACCCUGCCUCUUGCAGUUGCAGGGCUGACUUACAAUAAUGCAUUACUAAAAAUGUCAGUGGCUCCAUUUAACUUUAUUCGUUUUAAAGCCAGUGGUAAAGGUUUUUAUUACCCACUUUAUUGAACACCUUACGGUGAGAUGGUGCUGUCUAAAUUGUAUUAUACAUUAUAAACUUCUACAAGUAUGUGGCAGCAGCUGCACAGGAAUGUAGAGCACACAUUUACUCUUUAUGGUACACAGUCCAAUGGAAAUGGCUGUACAGAUAAUGUGCUUGUUCUUAUUUGUGGAUCACUGCGCACUCACAUGUAUGACCACGCUGGCUAAAUGAUAGUCUGCUCUGUUCACCUUUUGAAUGCCAAUAUUUCUUAAGCAUGCCUUACCUGAGCAUAGAGUUACAGUGCACAUUAAGUGAUCUUUAACCUCAGAUUUCUGGCCAACAAGCAAUAAUCCAACGCCAUCCCACUCUUUUCAGUUUCUAAUACUGUUCUAUAACAGUUCCAUUUCUGAAAUUACUCUAAUGUAAUGGUAGGCUGUUAGUUUUUAACAUAAAGCUACCAUUCUUGCAAUAUUAUAGCCACUUGUGAAGAAGGUUUAUGUGUCUAGGCAGUUCUACACUUUUUGAUAAUACCCGCCCUCAAUCUUGUCUGUGUGUUCCUUUAUGUAAUGUAAUUAUGAACAGCAAUACCCAUCAAUGUACCAGCUGUCUCACUACAAUAUCUCCUUAGUCUGGACUUUCUCGCUGACCCUGAAGAUAUCGGGAUUCUAAAAAAAAUUUAAAAAGUAAUGGUAAAAUGGAAUCAUCAAACAAAAUCCUCUUAAAAAAAGCCACAAAGCAUGCGUCAUCCCAUUUCACCAACAUAUUAAAGAUUUUGCUAUGGAGCAAACUCCGUUUCUCCAAGUACCCAAAAUGAAUUACAUUGUGGAUUAUCGUGUAAUUAUGGAUCUUUCCAAAGACUGAUAGAACCGGAAAAUUGAGUUCUGAAUAUUUCAUAAUGCAUAGCACCAUCUUUGUAGAGGAAAUUAUUUAGGGAUAGCAUGCUCAUUUGCAGAAUGGAUAAAGGUUCAUUGCGAGUCACCAGAGUGCAGUAAUUGGAAAGCUCCUGUGAUUCAAAGGAAUCAUUCAGAGAUGAGCAUGUCUCCUGGAUAGCUGUGUAGUACUCCAUUAAUCUUCAGUCACACACCCAAAACUAUCAGCUACCAUCCAAACCUAUCAAGCUGUUGGCAUAUACCAUAUUUGUGCCGCAUAUAAAUCACAGUUAUACAACAAAUGUGAUAAAUGUGCACUUUAUCCUUUUUUUAUCCCUCUGCAGAUGAGCUCUGGCACCCUCCCAGAGGUAAGAACUCUUGUAAUCUUACCUAUGAUUUUUUUGUACGUCUUUAUUUAUUUCUUUUUCUUAAGUGUGGAUCCCUUUAAUACACAGACAAGUAGAAUUAUCACAAUAUCAGCAUCACAUUACAUGAAAUAUCAUCAUCACCAAGGACAAACCAAACAAUUUAAGGUUGGAUAAACUACUCACUUAGGUGAACACUCUGACUGGGAUCUAAAAGGAUAAUUUUGUCGCCUCUAGAAAACAUAUGAAGAAAUGCCAGUUUUGAAAAAUGUCAUCUUUAAAAGGCAAAUCUAAAUGUCAGAGAGAUAGAUCCUUUACACAAAGAGAGCACUGCCUUCUGGGUAGUACACAGAAAGGCUUGAGAAUAAUAUAUUUUUUUCCCCCAGUUGAAAUGAACUACAAUUACCCAUCAUCAAGCAUAUAAAGCAGUACCCUCGCAUUCACAGUCUCAUAGCCUGGGGAGGAGAGUGGUCACUGUUUGCAACAUUAGUCAGAGAAAAAAACAAAAGGAAAAUAUGUUUUGCUUUGUCACGAAAAAAAUAGACUUUACUAUGUUGUGAUGUGAAGUAUGUCACUGAGAUGUUAUGGAAUAUACUGAAUUCAUAUAAUGGAUGAGAGGCAGGUAGUGUUAGGCGCUGCAAAGUUUUAAAUAGGAUGUUAACAUAGGCUGGAGGAAGUUUAACAAAGGUUAAACAAAAUAAGCUCCAGGCAAGCUUCUAAUAACUGACCUCCACCUAUCAGUCCUUGUAGUUAUGCAUUUUCUAUCACCUGCCCAGGUUAGGAAGUGGGGAUAAAAACUCAAGUAACCAAAGAAUAUUUACAUUAAUUGCAAAAAGACUAAAGGUGACAUUUUUUUUCCUCUUCCAUUCACCAUAAAUAUGGAAACAUACACUGUGCAUUCGUAUUUUGAUCAAUGUCAGUGGCUGUAGCAUCUCCUACCCCGUUCUCCCACACUGUGCCUGCUCAGGACACAGUCAUAUAUUUAUGAUUGGCAGCUGAUUUCCAAGCAACAAAGUUAAACUCCAGAAGGAAAACAGGAAAAAUAAUUAGUGAAACAGCAGCUCAGUCCAAUAUAAACCUGAUGACACUAACAUAAAGGCAAACUCAUAAUCUGAUCCAUAAUCAAGCAGAGCACUUUUAAUGGGAGCAGGUCGCAGUAAAAAGGGGGAGGGAACAACCUCUUUUGCAAACAUAACACAACAUUUGUCAGGAUAGAGGAUGAGUUUAAGAUAAAGAGAAAAUUAAUCCCACAAUACUUUGUGUAAUUUCAGAAAAGAAAAUCGUUGUUCUAGUUUUUGAAUUGCAUGUUGUUUGAUAUUUAAACUGUUUGUGAUGAUUCUCAUGUAUCAGCAGAAACAAAAGAUUUUCACAAGGCCUUCUCUUAAGAUUUUUUAUGUAAUUUUUGUUUGGUUUGGUUUGGUUUGGUUAUUUUUACAUCCCACUCUCCUUGUAAGGGUGCCCACAAGGAGAAGUUGCUUACAGCAACAUUGCUGUGUGUUUUAAACUAUAAAUUAAAUAUUGCAUUUUGAUACAAAACAGAUAGUGUUGGCUUAAAGUGGUUUACAUCUCUGGGCUUAACUGAUUCAUCAAAGUUUGCAGCUAAAAUAUUUCACAGUACAGAAUUUUCUUUUUUUAAUCUGAUGCAUGAAAGCCAUGUUGUGUUUCUUUUUUCUUUUCUUUGUGUGUGUGGUGGGGCGGGGGGGCAUCACAGCUAAAGCAAGCAGAGCAGCAUGCCUUAUUUGAGUUUAUAUUUUACAAAUUGCUAAAUGUACAAAUGGGAAAUUCAUACCUGAAUACAUCUUUCUUUGGUCAUCAGUUACAAAAAGUUGGAAACCAUCAUUCCUGAUACUUCUCAGUGGGAAAAUAUCAGAAAAGAACUGACUCUCAGUCAGUGUAGGUAAGUAACUGAAUGAAGAUUUGAAAAAGGGCAGAAGAAGAAGAAAUGCAAGAAGAAAAGAAAAGUGAGGUGCAAGUGGAGAUGAAGAUGGGAAAAGACUGGAGUCAAAGACUAAGACGGGAGAGAUGGCGAUGGAGGCGAAAGAAAGCAAGCCUCUGCUCCGACUGUCCUGGGUCACAGGUUUUUAUAUUAAUGGUUGAGGUCUUGUGUCAGGUCAGGGAGAGCUAAUCUUAACUCUCUUGCUGGAGGGCACCUUCAACCCACGGGGCAUCUGGGUAUCUCGUCAACCCAACAGUGAACCACCGGGCUCUUCUCUUAGCAUGCAAAUGAGACAAGAACAAAUGUCCCAUCACUUCUGGGGCUCCAUGUCCCAAAGUGCUUAACACUCUUCCUGUCAACCCCCCACACCCCACCCCACUCCAGCUGCUUCAAAAAGCCCCUCCUGCACAUCCUUCACUCUUUUUUUUCCCCUCCCUCUGAUGUUCUUUAAAUGAGCUUCCCAACUCCACUUCUUUCUCACAAUUCAAUUUUACAAGGCCAUUAUCCUGGGUGUAAUGUGGAGGUUAAAUAUAUCGGGGCAGACAUUAUGUGAAAAUAAUUAGUGCUAAUGAAUAAUGCACUCAUUCAGCUGAUGAAGGAUGGUUGUCAGGGUAAUGGAGUACAAGGGAGGGGCCCCUCUGACAAAUGAAAUUAAAAUAUUUAAACACUGUUUUACGAUAUUAUCAGGCCCUCACACUCUUUCCCUGUUACGCACUCGCUAUAUGGAGCAGGCGAGCCUCCAUGUGACAUGAUAGUUGUGUCAUUACUCACGCACAACAUCUGUCUCACCAGAGGCCCAGAAACAAGGCCCAUGCUUUUGCAGUACCUCACACCACAGCUCAUCAUCCCUGCCCUGAUAAUCACGCUGAUGGCUUUAGAGAUGGCGCUCUUAUUGACAGUCGAUGUCACCCUGCCAGAUUAUAUUUUCUUCACUUUAUUUAUUGCCACUGCACUCAUUCUGCCUCUUAGGAUCUCAUUCUGCGCCCAUCAUGUGACAAUGAAGGAUGUAGGUUUUAAAUCGCCUGGUUUACAGCGCCCUCCCAGUCAAUUGGCCUGUUCCAAUCAAUAAUGGUGGACUAAGCACUCUGUGACAGAUAAAUGGUAAAGCAUCAACACAACCUUAUUAGACAUAAUGGGUAGAUGAAAAUAUAGGAAAGUGCCUUUGACAGAGGACAGAAAGUGCAUGAACUAAUAAUAUAUAUUGCUUACUUCUUCAUGCACCAAACUCUGCUUGAUGAACCUUCAAACACCUAUUUCCACCUACACCUACUUGAACUUCAGCCAUUCUAGCACUUUGGUUUACUCUGGUUUCAACAUAAAGUCUCUAAGAUUGUGGCCAGUAAUCCAAUAUAUCAGAGUCGUCAAAGGCUAAUCAUUUUUGGAGCUGACAGAAUGUGAUUUAUGUUUAAAUAAGACUCCAGCCUAUCCCCAUUGUUUUGAUUUAACCAUGUUCCUGUGUAGUGAUGAACACAUUCCCCUUGAACACAAAAGAUCCCUGGUUCAAGACCAGGAGAAGACACAAACCCAACAGUAUACUCCCAUUGCUGGUCCCAAGACCAGAAAAAUAGGAGCAUCGCAUCAGGAAGGGAAUUUGGUAUAAAUUAUCCAGAACUGCAUAACAUCCGUUGUACAGUAGGUGAAAACAACAGUGGUUGCUGGUGCAACUAAUGUCAGUUAGUUGUAAUGGAAAUCUGACUAGGCCCAAGCUGUACUUGCUGACAAUGACAACACUUUCAUGCUGAUGUAUUUAUUUUCUUUGUAAGUAUGCUAAACUUGUAAACGUUAUACAAUGUAAACAUUAUGUCAAAGAGUAAAAGGUUACAGAUUAAAAUUUGGACCUGAAGAUAACCAAAGUUAUGAGGAUUUGUCCUAAAGAGAGCAAAUAUAUUUGCUGCCAAACUUUAAACCUGUGGGUGCCGAUAGUUGUUAUUAAGUUCAGCAGUGGAAAUGAAUGGGCUGAUCUGCGGUCUUGCCCACCCCUGCGGUCACACGUUCUUGGUUUCAACUGGAAAAAAAGAUCAAGAAUGUAAAAACUCACAGGGUUUCUUUUCUUUUUUGUCAGUCAGUUUGUUCAUAAUGAUGCCACAUCAUUGUUUUAUAUUUUGUUUUUUAGAAAUACAAAUGUUUUUGGCUCCCUGGGUUCCCCAGUCAAAAUCCCCCAGUUCCACAUAUGCAGUUUUAUUAAACUGAAUGAUUGGAGAACAUUGGAGAUGUCAUUAGAUCUUCCAGAGACAGAUAGAUGCCCUGGUCAUGCCACACAUGACAAGAAGAGCUGAUGCUGCUACAUUGCCAGCCCCAAUCUGAGCAGCAAUGACCCUCCUGGGAAUGAUGGAAAACUCCACCUGCUGAUAUGACUGUCCAACGCUCAGCUGGAACAUCCACUCGACAAAGGUGUUACUUUGCUGCCGAAACACAGACAGGGAGGAAGCAACUGUUUGCUCCUCCUGUCGCACGCCAGCAUGCCCUGAGCAGAGCAUGAGGCAAACUGUGUGUUAUAACUGCAUGUAGGGUGUGUUUACCUUUAGCUGUGUUUAGUUUUUUCCAUUCCCCGUACAACCAUGGUUGGUGAUUUCUGCCAGGGCUGCCAUUUGUCUCUGAUUCUGUUUAUAACUUUUAAGAUCAUAAUUUCUAGGUGCAGCCGAAGGGUGGAGGGUGGUUUUAGGAUAUGAUCUCUGUUUUUCUCAUUGAUGUGGUUUUGUUGGUUUUACACUGGGGCAUUUUCCAACCAAGUGUGAAGUGGAUGGGAUGAGAAUUAGCAUCUCCAAGUCUGAAGCUAUGGUUCUCCGUUGGCAAAGAGUGGAGCACUCAUUCAGGGUUCGGAAUGAAUCGCUGCUACAAAUGGAGUCGUUUGAGUAAGUAUUACACCUACUAAUGACAACACUGCGCUGGUCGGUUGUGGUGAAGAGAGAGCUGAGCGGGAAUGUGAAUCUGCCGAUUUAACAGCUGAUCUGCAUUCUUGCCAGCCCCUGUGGUCACAGGUUCUGGGUAUCAACUGAAAAAAAAAAAAGAUCAAGGAUGCAAGCAGCAGAAGUGAUUUUCCUCUCAAGGGUGUUGGAAAUAGAGGCAUUUGGUCAUUUAGGAGUCGCUCAGAGUAGAGAAAACUACUUCUCCUCAUCAAAAGGUGUUUUGGACAUGCAAUGGAGGUCCCGGGGCAGACCCAAGUACACGCUGGAGAGAUUAUAUCCCCAAGCUGGCCAGUUGUGUAUUUAUUUCAGUUAUUUUAUAUUUGACUGAUAUAAUCCACGAAUCCAAGACAAAUAGUUUUUAAUUGAAAUUAUUAAAAAAUUUGUGAUACUUCAAUAGACAAAAGCUAAAAAAGCUGAUUAAUAAGAAUGUGGUUUGUAUUUGUAAAUCUGAAAGUAAUAUUAAUUAAACUGCAAAAAUACUGGCAGAUAAUAAAUAAGCUACAUUUUUUUUUCUUUAGAUGACAUUAAUGACAUAACUAAUAAGACUUUGAGUAGAAAUAAGGUUUGCUAUUAUUAUUUUGCUGUUAUAUUUCAUUUCAUACAGUAAAUUAUUCUUGGGGUCCCAGGGUACCUCCGUCAGUAGUCCACAUAUGUUAACUAUGUCGGUAGGAUGAGUGUUAACAAAUUAAAGGUGGGUCUGAGGCUGAUUAGGAACAACCCACGCACCAUACCCUGCUACAUCUGGCAACUUUCUUUUCUUAACUCUUAUUUUGCAUUUUGGCACCAUAUACAUUUGACUUGCAAAACAGACCUAAUUACAGGGCCUGCAGUAUGCAAGCCACACAUCAAACAUUAAGUUACAGUAGAAGCCUGUGAUCCCAGUCACAUACCCUCUCCCUCUUUUUUUUUUCUUCUGCCCUCCCUUGCCUCUGCACACCAGAAACACUGAUUGUAACAGGGACAUUAAAGGGGAAUUACAGCGAAACAAUUUACACUUAAUGUAGCAGUCGUAUGAACGGGGAAGAAAGAUGGACAAAGAUAUAGCCGUAUUAAUAAUACAUGUUUUAAUUAAGCAGCUGGGAAUGCAAGGAGCAGGAUCAAGGGAACAGACAGACAAUGAAAGAAGAACUCGAAAGGAGGGAAGCGGUGAGAGAAAGACGGACGAAGAAAAAACUGAAAAUGAGAGAGCGAAUGACAGAGAAAGUGUAAAACAAAGCGGAGCAUAAAAAGUAGAGGAGGGAGGAGGAUCGGAAUAUGGUGCUGCGCGUUUCCUGCAAACCGUGAUUCAUGGGCAGUAAAUAUGCAAAGCCUGAUGGCCAUAAGGCAAUCAGAGGAGCGCCACUCAUCUACAUGUUGCACAGUGGGCUAUAAUCCAUCUGAGGGGCAAGGAAUAAUGAUACCAGGAAGCAGGAAUAAGAGCAGGGUCUGUUUAUUACCUCAGACAGAUCCAUAAUGCAUACAGAUGUGAGGGAGGCACACAGCUGCCUCUGGCCAGAGAACUCUAUUGAAAAGUAGAGACAGUAAUAUUGUGUUUAGUGUAAUGAAAGACAAUCUGAUUGAAGCACCUAUUAAGGCAAAUAAGACUGCUGUCGUAUGAGGUUUAAGUGCCGGAGCUGUAACGAUCACUGACAGGGUGGAGAAGAGCUGGGAUGGAUACUGAAGGAGAAGGAGGCGCCGACACCUCAAAGGCAACAGCAAGGUCACCAAUAAAUAACAUGGGUAAUACAAUAUGAAUGUGCAGUCGUGCAAAGUGAAAUGUAAGGUAAUAAUAUGGUCCAAAUAUGCACAUUUAAGACCUUGCUCGCUGUUAAGAGCAUACCAGCGCAGAUAAAACGUACGACCGGCAAUAAAGCAGUAAUUUGAAUUCUUUGGUGUCAUUGUGUUUACUUUUCUUUAUUUGCAAAGACACCCGCACAUUCACGCGCACUCUCGAACACAAAGGCCUUCUUCCCCGUGUCCUCACAGAGGACAUUAACACCAGGAUCCUAGUGGUGCUAGAGUAAAGUAAUAAAUUGUGUUGAACAUUGAUAAACUAAUGCAAUUACCUG